This is a long non-coding RNA of Pelobates fuscus (common spadefoot toad), 222 nucleotides long. RefSeq lists it as uncharacterized. The record is from RefSeq and is a predicted model, not a curated record. NCBI's taxonomy places the organism in Eukaryota, Metazoa, Chordata, Amphibia, Anura, Pelobatidae. The transcript has 3 exons.
AGGACACUGCUGCGGUCAAAGGAUCAGCUAUGUCUGUUGUGAAGAGUUGGAAUAUCUUCAGUUAAAGUGGCGGAUUGCUGUCACUGCCAUCUGCUCACCUGGCGAUCACUGCAGCCAGCCUGCUUCUCUCUUCGGUCCUACUGAACAUUCUCUGGAAUGAAAAUAAAGCAUUUAACAUGGAGCCGGGCCGCCUGUAUAGGAUAUUACCAAAGCCCAUUAUCU